CAUCUUGAAGAUGAAGAGAUGGUGUCAUAUAUUCUCACCGGCUUGGAUGAGGACUAUGACACGGUGGUGACGGGUGUGGCCAAUAGAGCUGAACCCAUCUCCCUUGGCGAGCUGUACACACAGCUGAUCAGCCGUGAAU
This 139-nucleotide small nucleolar RNA is filed under the name Sorghum bicolor (sorghum). RNAcentral describes it as "Small nucleolar RNA Z247". It matches the Rfam family "Small nucleolar RNA Z247". From Rfam's summary of the family: Z247 is a member of the C/D class of snoRNA which contain the C (UGAUGA) and D (CUGA) box motifs. Most of the members of the box C/D family function in directing site-specific 2'-O-methylation of substrate RNAs. The record is from Rfam by way of RNAcentral. Lineage: Eukaryota; Viridiplantae; Streptophyta; Magnoliopsida; Poales; Poaceae.